This 378-nucleotide ribosomal RNA is filed under the name uncultured eukaryote. RNAcentral's name for it is "partial 18S ribosomal RNA". It matches the Rfam family "Eukaryotic small subunit ribosomal RNA", at positions 592 to 975 of the family's 1831-position model. The record is from RNAcentral.
CAAUAGCGUAUAUUAAAGUUGUUGCGGUAAAAAAGCUCGUAGUUGGAUUUCUGUUGAGAGCGACCGGUCCAUACCAUGUAUGCGUAUCUGGCUUGCUCUCGGCAUCCUCUCGAUAGACGUUGCUGCGCUUGAUUGCGUGGCGCGGAUCUCGGGACUUUUACUUUGAGGAAAUUAGAGUGUUCACGGCAGGCUUUCGCCAGAAUACAUUAGCAUGGAAUAAUACUAUAGGAUCUUGGUUCUAUUUUGUUGGUUUCUAGAAUUGAGAUAAUGAUUAAUAGGGACAAUUGGGGGCAUUCGUAUCAACACGUCAGAGGUGGAAUUCUUGGAUUGUGUUGCGACGAACUACUGCGAAAGCAUUUGCCAAGGAUGUUUNCAUUG